RNAcentral lists this ribosomal RNA (253 nucleotides) under uncultured bacterium. RNAcentral's name for it is "partial 16S ribosomal RNA". It matches the Rfam family "Bacterial small subunit ribosomal RNA", at positions 524 to 776 of the family's 1533-position model. The record is from RNAcentral.
UACGUAGGGCGCAAGCGUUGUCCGGAAUUAUUGGGCGUAAAGAGCUCGUAGGCGGCUUGUCACGUCGGGUGUGAAAGCCCAGGGCUCAACCUUGGAAUUGCCUUUGAUACUGGCUGUCUUGAGUUCGGGAGAGGUGAGUGGAAUGCCGAGUGUAGAGGUGAAAUUCGUAGAUAUCAAGCGGAACACCGGUGGCGAAGGCGGCCUUCUGGACAGUGACUGACGCUGAGACGCGAAAGCGUGGGGAGCAAACAGG